CCGGCGCUGCUCCCGCAUCCACCGCGGGGCCGCCGCUCCUCCGUCCCGCGCUGUGCCGGCGGGCGGGGAAGGGAGCGCGGGCGGGGAAGGCAGCGCGGAGCCGCCACCUCCGCCUCCCUCAGCCCCUUCCCGCUGUCACCGCCCGCCCGCCCCACGCUGCCCGGGCCCGCAGCGCCCCCUCCUGUCCCGCGCCGCUCGGCCGCCGCCGCCGCCAUUUUGUCCCCCCUCGGAGCGGCGGGGCCGGGGCGCCAUGCAGGGGCCGCCCGUCCUCGGAGCCGAGCUUGGAAGACGGCACUUGGGGAUAUCAUCCCUUCCCAAGGGGCUGCUCCGCAGAUAGUAACUGCAGUCCGUGGGAUUGUUGCACUUGCGGGGAAAACGCUUUUCACAGAAUCACGGAAUCACUGAGGUUGGAAAAGCCCUCCAGGAUCGAGUCCAGCCUGCGCUCGAUCCCCACCGUGACGCCCAGCCCAGGGCACUGAGUGCCACGUCCAGUCGUUCCUUGGACACCUCCAGGGAUGGGGACUCCACCACCUCCCUGGGCAGCCCCAGGGAUACUUAACGACCCUUUCCAUGAAGAAAUUCUCCUAGUGUCCAACAAAUCUAAACUUUUCCAGGCAGAGUCCAUCCAGUUUUGUUCCAUCCUGGAAGGGGCAUCACUCACUGCCCAGAUACAGCCAUGGCUAUGGGGAGGGCAGAUGAUCAGUCUUACAUGAUUUAAGUUUAUCCCACUGAGAUCUAUGGAUGUGUUCUACUUUUUAGAGUCUUCCCAUUGAAACAGGCAAAGAAACUGAGAGCCAGCGGUGCGGAAAAAUGAUUUCUCCACUGUUCUUCAUACAUGAGUUGAUAGUUAAAAGCUUCUAAUUUUCCCCUCGCAACAUUUCAGAUUUACUGGAUAUCUCCUAUUUUUACAGUCAGUCAGGAACUCAUAAGUCUAGGGACACCUUCCACUAUGCCAGGUUGCUCCAAGCCCUGCCCAACUUUGCCUUGGACACUUCCAGGGAUGAGGCAGCCACAGCUUCUCUGGGCAACCUGUGCCAGGGCCUCAUCACCCUCACCCAAUAUCCCAUCUAACCCUGCCCUCUGGCAGUGGGAAGCCAUUCCCCCUUGUCCUGUCCCUGCAGGCCCUUGUCCAAAGUCCCUCUCCAGCUCUCUUGGAGCCCCUUUAGGCACUGGAAGAGGCUCCAAGGUCUCCCUGGAGCCUUCUCUUCUCAGGUGAACACCCUCAGCUCUCCCAGCCUGUCUCCAGAGCAGAGGUGGAAUUUUGGCUAAGUGAAAUCAAUAUUGAAUAGACUGAUUUCUCCUAACCCUUCCUGAAAAAGAGACAGGGCACUGCCAAAGCUCAUUGAAGCUCCAGGAGUGAUAACUACUUUCCAUUCAGGAGAAUGAUCACAUUCCCGGGAUGCUUAGAUUAGGUUUAAGAUUUCAAAAGUCAGCAACUGUUUAAUAAAAAGCUCAUAAGCAGAGUGGAAACAAGGACAAGAUUAAAGGAAUUUCCUUCUCACUUCCUGAUAGAUCAGAUCCCUUAGGCUUGCCUUGUGCCAUAUGAAUCUUGUAUUUCUUGUCAGACACUAAUAGAGUUUCAAGAGGAGGAAGAAACCCAGAUAAGCAUCUGGCUGCAUGUUGGUGAUGGAGAUUGAGAUCUGGAACUACCUUCUCCUCGCACAUACACAUAUUCCUCCUCACACCAGGGAGGGCAAGGACGAGAGAUUAUCCACUUCCUUGUGAAAGCUCACCAAUACACAGACAUGAACUAAAUGGAAGAGGUAAGCCAAACUGGAUACUGUUCUAGGAUCUGAUAUGACACAUGGAAGGAACUAUCAGCUGCUGGUGCCUGUGUUUCUGCCAAUUUAGGUCCUUAAACCACUACUCCCAACUGAGGUGAACAAGGCAGGCCUGGGUCCAGCCAAGAGUCUGGAUCAUCAGGCAAGGUCUGACAUCACGCUGAGAAGUCAGCUACAGGUCAGGGCCCACUCCUCACAAUCCAUUCCAGCAGGUCUGCAGGGAUAAGGCAGGUCUGAGGUCAAGCAGGGAAGCCCAUCCACACCUCAGUGUCCAGCCCAGUAGGGUCCAUAGCCAGGCACAGGGAUGAGGGAGUGACAGACUUCCCCUCCUAGGCAGGAGCUAAGGGGGGUCAGAGCUGAGCUUAAAGAGAGCCUCUGGGCAAGGGUGGGGUUGGAGGCCCCAGCUGAGGGUGGUCAGUCAUUAAGAGCAAUGAGAGCCCUCAGGGUCCUGACACUUAUCAUGUAGACAGGGAAUACCGGAGCUGGUGCCAGUGGGAAGGUCAGGCCGUGCAGCUGGGGUUGGAUUGCUGCAGCACCAGCCCAGGCUUGCCUGCCCUGACCCUCUGAAGUGACAUUUCACGUUACUUCUGACUGAUCUAACAGCAAGGAAAAAUCUCUUUUGUUUCCUGUAUGUUCACCCAGGCAAGGCCAUUCAACUAAACCUGUGAUGAGAGAAAAUAGGAGCGAUGUUCCUCCAGAUGAGCCAGCUGGGUCAGUUCCCCACAGCUGCUGGAGUGCUGGAGCCAGCAAAGAUUUCUUGAUUCCAGCAUUUGAAGCCAUAUCAGUCAUCCUUCGCCCACUUGAAAUUCAACUGGAAUUACACCAGUGUGUCCAGGGUUCCAGAGUGCAACCUGAAGUGAGGUCUGAACUUCCCAUGGAUUACUAGAAUCUGUGCAUCCAUGAAAAGACCAUGUGUAAAUCUGAUUUCACUGUAGAUAUUUAAAUUAUAAGAUGGAGAACAAUUGCUGUUACUUUUAAAAGAUGGAAGAUUUAGACAUAUCUUACACUCAGUUCCUUAGAAAAGGGAUUCUCUCUAACUUAGGUGAGGACUUUUCCACUGGAUGUGUUUUUCAUUUUCUAGUGGAAUUUCAGGAGUAAGUGCAAUACAAAUAAUAACAUGUUUCUUUAAAAUGAACAGGAGAUAUGAACAUAAAUCUGAAUUCCCUAAAAGAAAUUAGCCACGGCAUAGAGAACAGGCACAUACAAGACAGACAUGCCUUGUGCUGUGUGAUAGGUGUCCUGUAAAAGUCAGCUUAAGAAAUACAGAUAUUGGCCAAUGUGCAUGUGAAAAAUUUUGCACUAUCCUGUAGCAAAAAAAGGAUCAUUUUCCUUUUGUUUACAGGUCCAUGAAAAAUGGUUGAUAUGACAGGACACCAUUAACAAUUAAGGCUGGUUUCAGUGUUUGUGUUUGCAGCAGGACUAAGAAAAGACACCAAGGACAGGGAGAUAAUGGAUGGUGCUCGGUGGGAUGGUUUAGUUGAGUUAAAUCCAGUGCUGGUCCGUGGCUUUCCCUGCUGGAAUCAGGCAGGUCAUCGUGGAGUGGCCCAAGGUAUGUCCAUAGGUAGUGGGAUACACAUCCCCUGCCAGGGGCAGCAGGUUAGAGCAGUGCAUUUGUGCCAGUCUUUGCAACAGCUCCGUCUCUUUCUCAGGCUGCAUUUUUCCUUUGCCUUAAGAGGAAAGCAAAGGAUCAGGGAGCCUUAGGGAACAUGGCAGAGAGCACUGCUGAAGGAAGGAAUGACACAGGGAGCACCAGGAGGUGCAGGUCAGCCUUGUUCAGAUCAUCUACUUCAGUCUGUGGUCUGGGAGUACUUUGAAAAUUGGCAGGAGAGUAUGGAAAAUAUAAAAGGAAAGCCUUGAAACAGACCACAAUUCUUUCAUAUGUGUAUUACACUGGAAUUAUUUUUAUAUAUGUAUGUAUAUGUAUAUACACUGGGAGGACUCUGUUCUUUACAUCCUUAAAUUACAGACCUUCAUAACACGUAAUGUCACCCUUCUGGAAAAAUGAGGGUGAUAGAAUGGGACACAAACACCAGCAACUACUUAAUAGCACAUACAAAUAUUGGCACGCUUGUUAUGCCUUAUUUUUGUUGUUGUUAUUACUUUAUUUUUGGAACUGUGUGUUGGCACUCCAGCAUUUCCCUACAUUUGAGCUCCACUGUGCACUUUGAAGGCCUUAAUUUAACGAGCAGACGUGGUGCAGUCAGAGGGAGAAGUGUGUAAGUCACACAGUGUGGGUAUUUACACUUCACAUGCUGAGCUUUGUAGUCAUCCUUUGGGAGGAAAGAGUUACAGUUAUUUUAUCUCUGUCUUUCUCAUUAGCUCCAGAGGGAAGCCUUGGAAAGAAGGCAAUGGAUUUACAGCUCAGUUUGGGUUGGUUGUCCUUUUGCAGAACGUCUCAGGUAAUUUCAGGUGAAACUCCUCCUUAACUUCAAAGUUCCUCACGCAGAGUUUGUUUGCUUUUUCCAAAAGGAAUCAACUAACCCAAUCCUCAAAAAACCCGACUCAGGGAGGAGGCUAUUAAGGCAAUAGUUUAGAAAACUGAACAAUAGUCCACUCAGUAAUCCAUGAUCACACCACCUGCAGGCAGCCCCGGCCCAAGUGGGAGUAAAUAGUCCUGCAGGGAAGGGCUAAGGCACCGUCAGGAUGAACAUGGGAGAUUUCACCACCCUCCUAAAUGUUCUCAUCUUUGUGGCCAGGCACGUGAAGCAGUAAAACCCUUCAGUUGUUAGAGGAAGGAGAACAUCAAGUUUUGCAGGAGAACAACAGAUCCAAGAUUGGUGCUUUAACAGGUUCACAAGGUGGCCUCUGCAUCUGCCUUUACAGUGUAUUUACUUACCAGUCUACCCAGGGAUUUUGUGAAGGAUUUGGCAUCUUAAACAGCUUUUUAUUCCAACAACAUUUCAAUUCACCCUUAAGACUCUCAGUUAAGACAAACUGAACCGGGGAUCCCUGGGUGGAAUUUGCAUGGAAGUUAUGGGGUUUGGGUAUGGGGUUUAUAGCCUGAUAUUGUACUAUCUCCCAUCUCGUAUUUUCCACUCAUUUUGCAUGUAAAACUUUUACUGCUAUCAGCAUGAGUUUAGGGGGCCACUAAAACUGAGACUAUGCCCCCAGGACCCAACAUGAUGUAAGGGACCCCCUUUACUUAGAACCAUUUGGCUGCACUAAAUCUUGAUGUUGAAUGUUUGGGUUAGUUCCCCCAUAAACCUCGUCUGCUGGAUUUAUAUAUUUGGCUCCUUUUAUUUUGACUCUGGUGGCUAAAUUUGCAAUGGGCUUUGAAUGAAUGCAAUUCCACUCACACCAGCAGCACAGUGGGUAUUUCUGGUUGUGUAAAUACAGGGAUGUAUAAAUACAGUCUGGGAGGAUGCUGAGGGGACCCACUUGGUGGGGUUUCGGUGAGAUCCGAGACUGCUCAGCACCUCCAGGGAGAAAUUCCAACCCUUCCAACCUCCCCACAGUGUCUGUGGUCCCUUUCUAUAGCCUUUUGUCCCAAUCACAGCACACAGUGCAUUUGCUUAUCACCUUUUUAAUCACAAACUCUGAAAUAUUUAUUUUCCUGUGUUCUAAAAGCACACUUCUAUAUGCAACAAAGAAUUAUGUCAACUAGGAGGAUGAUGGAGAUGUAUUUUUCCCUCUACAGCUCUGUGAAAUUUAGCUUUUUCUCACAUGGGUGUGGGGUUUUUAAAUAAAGCAGUAUUUCAGUAA
Pseudopipra pipra is the source of this 5483-nucleotide long non-coding RNA. RefSeq lists it as uncharacterized. NCBI's taxonomy places the organism in Eukaryota, Metazoa, Chordata, Aves, Passeriformes, Pipridae. The record is from RefSeq and is a predicted model, not a curated record. The transcript is spliced from 2 exons.